RNAcentral lists this ribosomal RNA (468 nucleotides) under uncultured bacterium. RNAcentral's name for it is "partial 16S ribosomal RNA". It matches the Rfam family "Bacterial small subunit ribosomal RNA", at positions 28 to 507 of the family's 1533-position model. The record is from RNAcentral.
GACGAACGCUGGCGGCGUGCUUAACACAUGCAAGUCGAACGGAAAGGCCCUGCUUUUGUGGGGUGCUCGAGUGGCGAACGGGUGAGUAACACGUGAGUAACCUGCCCUUGACUUUGGGAUAACUUCAGGAAACUGGGGCUAAUACCGGAUAGGAGCUCCUGCUGCAUGGUGGGGGUUGGAAAGUUUCGGCGGUUGGGGAUGGACUCGCGGCUUAUCAGCUUGUUGGUGGGGUAGUGGCUUACCAAGGCUUUGACGGGUAGCCGGCCUGAGAGGGUGACCGGCCACAUUGGGACUGAGAUACGGCCCAGACUCCUACGGGAGGCAGCAGUGGGGAAUAUUGCACAAUGGGCGGAAGCCUGAUGCAGCAACGCCGCGUGCUGGAUGACGGCCUUCGGGUUGUAAACCGCUUUCGCCUGUGACGAGGCGUGAGUGACGGUAAUGGGUAAAGAAGCACCGGCUAACUACGUG